Gasterosteus aculeatus aculeatus (three-spined stickleback) is the source of this 1332-nucleotide non-coding RNA. NCBI's taxonomy places the organism in Eukaryota, Metazoa, Chordata, Actinopteri, Perciformes, Gasterosteidae. The record is from RefSeq and is a predicted model, not a curated record.
CCCUCACCUGCACAUAACCUGUACAUGUAUAUAUAGAUAGUAUCUGGAUGUCUGUAUAAGCCUACCCGUCUCUCCACCUGUCUUCUUCAAUUGUCUCUUUACCUGUCUCUCCCUGCGUCUCUACCCAUGUAUCUCACCGUCUCUCUCCCUGUCUCCCUCUCUCUCUUUCCGGUUCCGGUGAGUAACAUGAGAGGUGAGAGGUGUUGGUGCGAGUGGCGGAGUUUUUCAAUCGGUUUUGAGUUUCUGAGAAUAAUCUAGUGUGCUGACCAGGUGAGUUUCCAAACUGACUGUUUUUGAUCGAUUGGAGGUUUGUUGAGGUGCCCUCGGAGGAAUGGCGUCCUCCGAGAUGCCACCUCUCUCUCUCCGGCAGGGAGUAAGGAUUGUCCCGCCGGAUAACGCGAUCACUGUGGAGAAGGUGUUGCUGGCUGUCGGGGAGCAGGUGUCCCCACUGACAGCGGAUCAUCACGGAUCAUCGUGUCCAGUGUUCCCGCCGUUCAUCCCAAAUGAAGCGAUAAGUAACGAGCUGCGGAGGUUUAGGUUUAAGGAAUAAAAACGGUGAAUCUGGGAUUUAAAGAUCCCAAGCUGAGACAUGUCCAGUCUCUGAGGCGGCAGGUGUUCAUGUUCCUGGACUCACCUGUUCAGAGCCUGGACGUCUCCUUCAGGGUGAAGCACGGCGACAGUGCCUACGUGGUGUACGCCAGCUCCAGGAAUUUGACGGCGCGGCGGCUGUUGCCAUUGACUCACAACUUGAGGACGAGGUGCAGAAGAACCAAGCAAAGGAGCAACAGGUUGCUGUUGCUGUAAAGACCAUCCGCUCUCAUUUUGAAGAGAACAUGGGGCAAGAGGCUUCCACGAGCAUGAAGGACCUCACUGCGGCUACAAUUGAAGUGCAGGGGGUCUAAAAUAGCCAGUACACCUCACACUCCACUGCUAGGGUAAAGGCAGCAGUCCAGGAGCUGAAGGCCAGCAUCAGGACAAUUGAGGAGGGGCUACACAGGGGUUCAAAUCCUGUUACCGUGCAGCUGUGAAAAAGAAAUAGGCUGGAGUUGCGCUCCUUCUUUCAGGAGAGGGUGAAGGGAGCUCUAGUCACGUCUCGUUUCCUACAGCUGAAAGACAUGGACGCCCCGACUUCCUUCUUUUUCAAUCUGGAGAGGUUGCUGAUUUUUUCAAGCGCUUCCGGAUUAUCCUUGGUUCAGGAUUCUUAUUCAACCAGAUUUGACCCUUGUUCGUCUGAAUUGUUUCAGAACAGGAUCUCCUCCUGUCUCCUGUCAGCGAGCGGUGCUUUCUCUGCUGCCAAAAAAAAGGAGACCGGGCAUUACUGAAGAACUUGAG